This 1492-nucleotide long non-coding RNA is filed under the name Papio anubis (olive baboon). Its description in RNAcentral is "lncRNA (ENSPANG00000047649.1)". The record is from RNAcentral. Lineage: Eukaryota; Metazoa; Chordata; Mammalia; Primates; Cercopithecidae.
GAACCUUGGGAGAGUUUAGCUGGAUUCUCUGCUCUGGGAUCUCUCACAGGACUGCAAUCAAGGUGAUUGCUGGGCUAGAGUCUCAUCUGAAAAUUCAACUGGGCAAGUCUCCACUUCCAAACUCACUUUUGUGAUUGCUGGCAAGAUGUGGUUGUUUUUAAGGUAUUGACCAGAGGGUCUCAGUUCCUAGUUGGGUGUUGGUCAGAAGCCACUCUCCGUAUCUUUCCACUUGAGCCUCUUACAAGUGUCAACUUGCUUCAUCAAAACCAACAAGGGAGAGAGUCUACUAGUGAGAUGGAAGUCAGAAUCUUUUGUAAUUUAAUAAUGGAAGAUAUGUCUCCUCAAUGAUAUAGGAUUUUAUUAUUUAGAAGCAAGGAUCACAAGAGGAAAAAUUAUACAAGACUUGGAAUGUCAGGAGGUGGAAAUUUGGGACCAUCUUAGAAGCUCUGGACUGUACCAUUUUAUUCUGCACUUCAAAUGGAUCAAGGCCAGUUUCCAAAUCAGUCUUCUGUGUGAUAAUUAAUGCCUGAUGGCUACAUGAAAGCAUAACUUGAAUGAGGAUUUUUCUGAAAAUACUGUUUUUGAAGUGGCUGAAAGGAAAAUCAUAAUUAGCCUUCAAAACUAUUAGAAGACAGUCCAUUCUCACGCUGCCAUAAAGAACUUCCCAAGACUGGAAAAUUUAUAAAGGAAAGAGGUUUAAUUGACUCACAGUUUCUUAUGGCUGGGGAGACAACAGGUAACUUACAAUUAUGGCAGAAGGCAAAGGAAAGGCAGGCGUCUUCUUCACAAAGCGGCAGGAGAGAGAAUGAAUGAAUGAGGAACUUGGCCAAGCACAUAUAAAACCAUCAGAUCUCGUGAGAACUCACUCACUUCAUGAGAACAGCAAGGGAAAAACUACCCCCAUGAUCCAGUUACCUCCACCUGGUCUCUCCCUUGACAUCACCUUCGAUAUAUCAUUUGUAUGUCUCUGGGCCUCAACUUUUUCCCAAUGAAAAUUCAGCCACUCAGAUUGAAUAAAGAAAAUGUGGUACAGAUACACCAUGGAAUACUACGCAGCUAUAAAAAAAGAAUAAGAUCCUGUUCUUUGCAGGAACAUGGAUGAAGCUGGAGGCCAUUAUCCUUAGCAAACUAAUGCAGGAACAGAAAACCAAAUACCUCAUUUUCUCACUUUUGAGUGUGAACUGAAUUAUGAGAACACAUGGACACAAAAAGGGGAACAACAGACACUGGGGCCUACCUGAAGUGGAUGCCGGGAGGAAGGAAAGGAUCAGGAAAAAUAACUAUUGGGUACUAGGCUUAGUACCUGGGCAAAAUAAUUUGUACAACUACCCCCCAUGACAUGGGUUUACCUAUAUAUCGAGCCUACACGUGUACCCUGAACCUAAAAUGCAAGUUAAAUACAUAAAAUAAAAUAAAAAUAGACAAUCAGCCACUAAUUACAUAAUUGUUCCCAAAUAUGUCAUUGUAAUUUUUUUUAGUUAGUUCUUUUAAC